This 252-nucleotide ribosomal RNA is filed under the name uncultured Actinomycetales bacterium. Its description in RNAcentral is "partial 16S ribosomal RNA". It matches the Rfam family "Bacterial small subunit ribosomal RNA", at positions 79 to 334 of the family's 1533-position model. The record is from RNAcentral. Lineage: Bacteria; Bacillati; Actinomycetota; Actinomycetes; Actinomycetales.
CUUGCAGGGUACUCGAGUGGCGAACGGGUGAGUAACACGUGGGUGAUCUGCCCUGCACUUCGGGAUAAGCUUGGGAAACUGGGUCUAAUACCGGAUAGGAACCAUCUUUAGUGUGGUGGUUGGAAAGUUUUUUCGGUGUAGGAUGAGCUCGCGGCCUAUCAGCUUGUUGGUGGGGUAAUGGCCUACCAAGGCGGCGACGGGUAGCCGGCCUGAGAGGGUGUACGGCCACAUUGGGACUGGGAUACGGCCCAG